RNAcentral lists this transfer RNA (76 nucleotides) under Thermohalobacter berrensis. RNAcentral describes it as "tRNA-Lys". It matches the Rfam family "tRNA". Rfam says of the family: Transfer RNA (tRNA) molecules are approximately 80 nucleotides in length. Their secondary structure includes four short double-helical elements and three loops (D, anti-codon, and T loops). Lineage: Bacteria; Bacillati; Bacillota; Tissierellia; Tissierellales; Thermohalobacteraceae. The record is from RNAcentral.
GACCCAUUAGCUCAGUUGGUAGAGCACCGGACUUUUAAUCCGGGUGUCCUGCGUUCGAGUCGCAGAUGGGUCACCA